GCUACGGGAGGCAGCAGUGGGGAAUAUUGCGCAAUGGGCGAAAGCCUGACGCAGCGACGCCGCGUGAGGGAUGAAGGUCUUCGGAUCGUAAACCUCUGUCAGCAGGGAAGAACGGGCACUGUGCUAAUCAGCAGUGAAUUGACGGUACCUGCAAAGGAAGCACCGGCUAACUCCGUGCCAGCAGCCGCGGUAAUACGGAGGGUGCGAUCGUUAAUCGGAAUUACUGGGCGUAAAGCGCGCGUAGGCGGUAUGUCAAGUCAAGGGUGAAAUCCCCGCGCUCAACGUGGGAACUGCCUGUGAAACUGGCAACCUGGGGUGUGUGAGAGGAUAGUGGAAUGCCAGGUGUAGGAGUGAAAGCCGUAGAUAUCUGGAGGAACAUCAGUGGCGAAGGCGACUAUCUGGCACAUAACUGACGCUGAGGAGCGAAAGCGUGGGUAGCAAACAGGAUUAGAUACCCGGGUAGUC
This 465-nucleotide ribosomal RNA is filed under the name uncultured bacterium. RNAcentral's name for it is "partial 16S ribosomal RNA". It matches the Rfam family "Bacterial small subunit ribosomal RNA", at positions 338 to 795 of the family's 1533-position model. The record is from RNAcentral.